This 73-nucleotide transfer RNA is filed under the name Stegodyphus mimosarum. It matches the Rfam family "tRNA". From Rfam's summary of the family: Transfer RNA (tRNA) molecules are approximately 80 nucleotides in length. Their secondary structure includes four short double-helical elements and three loops (D, anti-codon, and T loops). Further hydrogen bonds mediate the characteristic L-shaped molecular structure. tRNAs have two regions of fundamental functional importance: the anti-codon, which is responsible for specific mRNA codon recognition, and the 3' end, to which the tRNAs corresponding amino acid is attached (by aminoacyl-tRNA synthetases). tRNAs cope with the degeneracy of the genetic code in two manners: having more than one tRNA (with a specific anti-codon) for a particular amino acid; and 'wobble' base-pairing, i.e. permitting non-standard base-pairing at the 3rd anti-codon position. The record is from Rfam by way of RNAcentral. Lineage: Eukaryota; Metazoa; Arthropoda; Arachnida; Araneae; Eresidae.
GUCUUUAUGGUGUAGUGGUCAGCACGCUGGGCGCGUAUUCCAGAGGCCCAUGGUUCGAGUCCCGGCGAAGGCC